CCUUCCGCCUUCCGCUCCUUCCUGCUCGCCCCGCCCCUUUGUUUUGUUCUCAUCUGGAACGUGAACAGGCCGCUUGCGUUUGAACAGGUAGCUAGGAGACGACUGAAAACUAAGAAAAGAUUAUGUUUACAAUCCAACCGGUGACCUCACAAGGAGAUUCCACAGGGGACCUCACAAGGAGAUUCCACAGGGGACCUCACAAGGAGAUUCCACAGGGGACCUCUCAAGGAGAUUCCACAGGGGACCUCACAAGGAGAUUCCACAGGGGACCUCACAAGGAGAUUCCACAGGGGACCUCACAAGGAGAUUCCACUGCUCUGGUGACAGGAAGAAGAUAUGGUGUUAUGACAACUCCAGAUAUGAGUUCUCUAUUUUUUACUUAACCAACAAUGCAG
Molecule: long non-coding RNA, 395 nt
Organism: Oncorhynchus tshawytscha (Chinook salmon)
Lineage: Eukaryota; Metazoa; Chordata; Actinopteri; Salmoniformes; Salmonidae
Source: Ensembl